RNAcentral lists this ribosomal RNA (435 nucleotides) under uncultured bacterium. Its description in RNAcentral is "bacterial SSU rRNA". It matches the Rfam family "Bacterial small subunit ribosomal RNA", at positions 29 to 507 of the family's 1533-position model. The record is from RNAcentral.
AACGAACGCUGGCGGCAGGCCUAACACAUGCAAGUCGAACGCUCGUAGCAAUACGGGAGUGGCAGACGGGUGCGUAACGCGUGGGAACAUACCCUUUGGUUCGGAAUAACUCAGGGAAACUUGAGCUAAUACCGGAUACGCCCGAGAGGGGAAAGAUUUAUUGCCGAAGGAUUGGCCCGCGUCUGAUUAGCUAGUUGGUGAGGUAACGGCUCACCAAGGCGACGAUCAGUAGCUGGUCUGAGAGGAUGAUCAGCCACACUGGGACUGAGACACGGCCCAGACUCCUACGGGAGGCAGCAGUGGGGAAUAUUGGACAAUGGGCGCAAGCCUGAUCCAGCCAUGCCGCGUGAGUGAUGAAGGCCUUAGGGUUGUAAAGCUCUUUCGGCGGGGAAGAUAAUGACGGUACCCGCAGAAGAAGCCCCGGCUAACUUCGUG